This 504-nucleotide ribosomal RNA is filed under the name Omophron limbatum. RNAcentral's name for it is "bacterial SSU rRNA". It matches the Rfam family "Eukaryotic small subunit ribosomal RNA", at positions 1172 to 1489 of the family's 1831-position model. The record is from RNAcentral. Lineage: Eukaryota; Metazoa; Arthropoda; Insecta; Coleoptera; Carabidae.
AGGAGUGGAGCCUGCGGCUUAAUUUGACUCAACACGGGAAAGCUCACUAGGUCCGGACACCGGAAGGAUUGACAGAUUGAGAGCUCUUUCUUGAUUCGGUGGGUGGUGGUGCAUGGCCGUUCUUAGUUGGUGGAUUGGUUUGUCUGGUUAAUUCCGAUAACGAACGAGAUUCUAGCCUGCUAACUAGGCGUUCUCCGGUAUCUAGAAGGCUCGCGGCUCUCGUUAACGUUAACAUUGUGUUCAUAUACGAUGUGUAUGUGUUGUGUUCUAUAGUACUAUUUUGUUUUAUGAAAUAUGUAAUGGUAGCAAUAUUAUUGCAUAUGAAUUGGCUUGAUAGUUUCUAUAUGAUCCACACUACAUUUAGUUUUGGCCAUGUUUACGGUACGAGUGUUCGCGGUUUUUACUACCGGCGUACAAUUAAUUCUUCUUAGAGGGACAGGUGGCUCCUAGCCGCACGAGAUUGAGCAAUAACAGGUCUGUAAUGCCCUUAGAUGUUCUGGGCCG